AAUGAACGCUGGCGGCGCGCCUAAUACAUGCAAGUCGAGCGAGAAGACGUAGCAAUACGUUUGUAAAGCGGCGAACGGGUGAGGAAUACAUGGGUAACCUACCCUCGAGUGGGGAAUAACUAGCCGAAAGGUUAGCUAAUACCGCGUACGCUUCUUGGACUUCGGUUCAGGGAGGAAAGCGAUGCCGAGGGUAUCGCGCUCUUGGAUGGGCUCAUGUCCUAUCAGCUUGUUGGNGAGGUAACGGCUCACC
Molecule: ribosomal RNA, 250 nt
Filed under: uncultured bacterium
Lineage: Bacteria
Description: partial 16S ribosomal RNA
Rfam family: Bacterial small subunit ribosomal RNA
Source: RNAcentral